This 368-nucleotide ribosomal RNA is filed under the name uncultured bacterium. RNAcentral describes it as "bacterial SSU rRNA". It matches the Rfam family "Bacterial small subunit ribosomal RNA", at positions 527 to 896 of the family's 1533-position model. The record is from RNAcentral.
GUACUGUGCGAACGUUAUUCGGAAUCACUGGGCUUAAAGGGUGCGUAGGCGGCAAUUCAAGUCAGGUGUGAAAUGCCUGAGCUCAACUGAGGCAUUGCGCUUGAAACUGAACUGCUUGAGUAUCCCAGGGGUGUGCGGAACUGCCAGUGGAGCGGUGAAAUGUGUUGAUAUUGGCAGGAACACCGGAGGCGAAAGCGGCACACUGGGGGAUAACUGACGCUGAGGCACGAAAGCCAGGGGAGCGAACGGGAUUAGAUACCCCGGUAGUCCUGGCCGUAAACGAUGAGCACUGGGCGGGAGGGGGUUUCCCUUUUCUGCCGUAGCGAAAGCGUUAAGUGCUCCGCCUGGGGAGUAUGGUCGCAAGGCUG